CGCAGCUAGAAAAUGCACGUGUGUGCAUGCACGUACGCUGCGCAGUAAAAGGCGAUUGGACAUGGAAAUGUUAUGCAAAUGUGCAUUAUGAUGUCAUGACCAGGUGUAACCUAGCGUUCAUGAGCAUCAGAAAAACUAAGGAUGAGCGUAUUUGAGCAGGAGAGCUUAGAGAGAUGCCUGUGCUCCAGGUUAGAAAGAGCCCAGGUGGACCUCGCUGACCGCAUGCAGCAGCUGGACAAACAUUUUCUGUGCAUAGAGAGGGAGCUCCAUGCA
Molecule: long non-coding RNA, 273 nt
Organism: Alosa sapidissima (American shad)
Lineage: Eukaryota; Metazoa; Chordata; Actinopteri; Clupeiformes; Clupeidae
Exons: 3
Source: RefSeq, a predicted model, not a curated record